Long non-coding RNA from Dreissena polymorpha, 232 nucleotides. RefSeq lists it as uncharacterized. The record is from RefSeq and is a predicted model, not a curated record. The transcript has 3 exons. Lineage: Eukaryota; Metazoa; Mollusca; Bivalvia; Myida; Dreissenidae.
GUCAUCGCACAAUAAAGUCAUAGUGAACGGCCCUAUCAUAUCGGUUUCGAUUUCCGAUAACUCUACCAAAUUGGAAUCACCGAUUCAUAUGACUUUUGAACAUGGACAGACAAACUUCACAAAGGCAUCAUGCAACUUCUGGAGGUUUAGGCCUGGGCAGCUGGGCUAUUGGGCCAACGACGGAUGCAUAAAUCAAACUUCAAAUGACAUUAUUACUGUGUGUGAAUGCAAC